Molecule: ribosomal RNA, 1119 nt
Filed under: Triticum aestivum (bread wheat)
Lineage: Eukaryota; Viridiplantae; Streptophyta; Magnoliopsida; Poales; Poaceae
Description: partial small subunit ribosomal RNA
Source: RNAcentral
AUGAGGAAGGAUUGUAGCUCGCAAAUGAUGAUGUCGGUGGAGAAGGAUCCAUUGCGUGCCUUGUCAUGGUACCAAUGCUUUACGCGUGUGCGUGUAGGGCCGGCGAGUUGCGCAACCUUGAUGAAUUGCUAUUCUGGGAUGAAUUUAGCGAGUAAGACUAUGGUUGAUGCUUUGAACCUACCAUUGAUUGAACAUCCAGAACCGUACGAGCUUUGGUGGAAGGACAAGUUUGUCAAAAUCAUGCAUCGCGUCGAGGUACAGUUUAUUCUAUGUGGAUAUGGUGAUCUGGUCAUGUGUGAUGUGCUUUCUGUGCACAUGCAUACAUGUUCAAUACUACUAGGAAAACCAUGGACAGAUAAACGACAGUUGAUAUAUCAUUCUGUUGGCGAAUUUUCUUUUGUUUUGGGAGGACAAUACAUACCACUUGAUUCAUACACAUUAGAGAAGUAUACGGCUGAUCGCAAGAAGCGGGAUAUUGCUCAAGCUGCAUCAAAAGUAAAGAAGAAGAAGGUUGAAGUUGCAAAAAAAAUUCCAAGCGUCGUUCAAACUGCAAAUACAAAUAUUGUUAAAGAGAUUGAUUCGAAACCGAGGACGGUUUCGUUUCAACGGGGAGAGGAUGAUACAGCCAGGGCUAAUGUCAGUUUUUCCAAUGUUUGUCAAACUUUUCCGCAAGUUGAUGAUUUGGAGGCCAGAGGUGUGUAUAUACCUAGAUAUAUUAGCUUUAAUGAGAAGCAUGAGUUUGAGGAGAAGCUAACUAGCGUGACAUGCAUGCAUGCUAAUGUGCUAAAAUUGAGAGCAGCUGGAGUACCAGAUUAUGCCAGGGAGAAAAAUAAUUUGGAAACAGAUUUGUUUUCCUUGGGCCUAGUAAACAUGCAUGCACUUCAAAGAGCACAUAUACGUAUACACAAGGGAAGUGAUGAUAUCCUACAAGUCCGUACAUGUGCUAGUGCACAAGGAAUUAAAGUCCAUUAUCUUUUUAUGUUUCCACGUCCACCAGAAAACAGAUCAAAGGCCAUGAAGUUGCUACCUCGAGAGUUGCUGUGUUUGUGCGCUAGUGGUUGGGGGCCUCCUGUUGUCUACACGUAUCCAACGGCCCUCCAAAUUAAAAAGAAAUAUUAA